UACGAAGGGGGCAAGCGUUACUCGGAUUUAUUGGGCGUAAAGAGUGCGUAGGCUGAAUUAUAAGUCAAAAGUGAAAUCCUUUAGCUUAACUAGAGAACUGCUUUUGAAACUGUAAUACUAGAGUUUAGUAAGAGAUAGAAGAAUUUUCAAUGUAGAGGUGAAAUUCAUAGAUAUUGAAAGGAAUGCCAAUAGCGAAAGCAUCUAUCUAAGAAAAAACUGACGCUGUUGCACGAAAGCGUGGGGAGCAAACAGG
RNAcentral lists this ribosomal RNA (253 nucleotides) under uncultured bacterium. Its description in RNAcentral is "partial 16S ribosomal RNA". It matches the Rfam family "Bacterial small subunit ribosomal RNA", at positions 524 to 776 of the family's 1533-position model. The record is from RNAcentral.